This 88-nucleotide transfer RNA is filed under the name bacterium. Its description in RNAcentral is "tRNA-Ser". It matches the Rfam family "tRNA". From Rfam's summary of the family: Transfer RNA (tRNA) molecules are approximately 80 nucleotides in length. Their secondary structure includes four short double-helical elements and three loops (D, anti-codon, and T loops). The record is from RNAcentral.
GGAGGGGUACCGAAGUGGUCAUAACGGGGCGGUCUCGAAAACCGUUUUGCCUUUUACGGCAACAUGGGUUCGAAUCCCAUCCCCUCCG